RNAcentral lists this ribosomal RNA (497 nucleotides) under uncultured bacterium. Its description in RNAcentral is "partial 16S ribosomal RNA". It matches the Rfam family "Bacterial small subunit ribosomal RNA", at positions 28 to 507 of the family's 1533-position model. The record is from RNAcentral.
GAUGAACGCUGGCGGCGUGCCUAAUACAUGCAAGUCGAGCGAACGGACGAUAAUCUUGCUUCUCUGAUGUUAGCGGCGCACGGGUGUGUAACACGUGUAUAACCUACCUAUCAUUCUGGUAUAUUUUCGGGAAACCGGCUCUUAUCCCGUAUAAUAUUUUGCACCGUAUGGUUCAAAAGUAAAUUACGGUCUUUCUGUCACUUAUAGAUGGUUCCGCGCUGCAUUAGCUAGUUGUUAAGGUAACGGCUUACCAAGGCAACGAUGCAUAACCGACCUACGAGGGUGAUCGGCGACACUGGAACGGAGACACGGUCAAGAGGCCUACGGGAGGCAGCAGUAGGGAAUGUGCCGCAAUGGGCGAAAGCAUGACGGAGCAACGCCGCGUGAGUGAUGAAGGUCUUCGGAUCGUAAAACUCUGUUAUUAGGGAAGAACAUAUGUGUAAGUAACUGUGCACAGAGUGACGGUAACUAAUCAGAAAGCCACGGCUAACUACGUG